This 58-nucleotide non-coding RNA is filed under the name Capnocytophaga sp. oral taxon 335 str. F0486. Its description in RNAcentral is "S15-Flavobacteria ribosomal protein leader". It matches the Rfam family "S15-Flavobacteria ribosomal protein leader". Lineage: Bacteria; Pseudomonadati; Bacteroidota; Flavobacteriia; Flavobacteriales; Flavobacteriaceae. The record is from RNAcentral.
UAUCUUUGCGCCCGAAAAAAAAAAAUUACAUAAUAAUCAUUAAAUUAAUAUUGGAAUG